GCUGUCACUGUUUGCAGAUGACAUGAUACUAUACAUAGAGAAUCCUAAAGAUGCUACCAGAAAACCGCUAGAGCUAAUUAAUGAAUUUGGUAAAGUAGCAGGAUACAAAAUUAAUGCACAGAAAUCUCUGGCAUACCUAUACACUAAUGUGGAAAAAUCUGAAAGUGAAAUUGAGAAAACACUCCCAUUUACCAUUGCAACAAAAAGAAUAAGAUAUCUAGGAAUAAACCUACCUAAGGAGACAAAAGACCUGUAUGCAGAAAAUUAUAAGACACUGAUGAAAGAAAUUAAAGAUGAUACAAAUAGAUGGAGACAUAUACCAUGUUCUUGGAUUGGAAGAAUCAACAUUGUGAAAAUGACUCUACUACCCAAAGCAAUCUACAGAUUCAAUGCAAUCCCUAUCAAACUACCACUGGCAUUUUUCACAGAACUAGAACAAAAAAUCUCACAAUUUGUAUGGAAACACAAAAGACCCCCGAAUAGCCAAAGCAAUCUUGAGAAUGAAAAAUGGAGCUGGAGGAAUCAGGCUACCUGACUUCAGACUAUACUACAAAGCUACAGUAAUCCAGACAGUAUGGUACUGGCACAAAAACAGAAAGAUAGAUCAAUGGAACAGGAUAGAAAGCCCAGAGAUAAACCCACGCACAUAUGGUCACCUUAUCUUUGAUAAAGGAGGCAGGAAUGUAUGGUGGAGAAAGGACAGCCUCUUCAGUAAGUGGUGCUGGGAAAACUGGACAGGUACAUGUAAAAGUAUGAGAUUAGAUCACUCCCUAACACCAUACACAAAAAUAAUCUCAAAAUGGAUUAAAGACCUAAAUGUAAGGCCAGAAACUAUCAAACUCUUAGAGGAAAACAUAGGCAGGACACUCUAUGACAUAAAUCACAGCAAGAUCCUUUUUGACCCACCUCCUAGAGAAAUGGAAAUAGAAACAAAAAUAAACAAACGGGACCUAAUGAAACUUCAAAGCUUUUGCACAGCAAAGGAAACCAUAAACAAGACCAAAAGACAACCCUCAGAAUGGGAGAAAAUAUUUGCAAAUGAAGCAACUGACAAAGUAUUAAUCUCCAAAAUUUAUAAGCAGCUCAUGCAGCUCAAUAACAAAAAUACAAACAACCCAAUCCAAAAAUGGGCAGAAGACCUAAAUAGACAUUUUUCCAAAGAAGAUAUACAGACUGCCAAGAAACACAUGAAAGAAUGCUCAACAUCAUUAAUCAUUAGAGAAAUACAAAUCAAAACUACAAUGAGAUAUCAUCUCACACCAGUCUGAAUGGCCAUCAUCAAAAACUCUAGAAACAAUAAAUGCUGGAGAGGGUGUGGAGAAAAGAGAACACUCUUGCACUGCUGGUGGGAAUGUGAAUUGGUACAGCCACUAUGGAGAACAGUAUGGAGGUUCCUUAAAAAACUACAAAUAGAACUACCAUAUGACCCAGCAAUCCCACUACUGGGCAUAUACCCUGAGAAAACCAUAAUUCAAAAAGAGUCACGUACCAAAAUGUUCAUUGCAGUUCUAUUUACAAUAGCCCAGAGAUGGAAACACCCUAAGUGUCCAUCAUCGGAUGAAUGGAUAAAGAAGAUGUGGCACAUAUAUACAAUGGAAUAUUACUCAGCCAUAAAAAGAAAUGAAAUUGAGCUAUUUUUAAUGAGGUGGAUAGACCUAGAGUCUGUCAUACAGAGUGAAGUAAGUCAGAAAGAGAGAGACAAAUACCAUAUGCUAACACAUAUAUAUGGAAUUUAAGGAAAAAAAUGUCAUGAAGAACCUAGGGGUAAGACAGGAAUAAAGACACAGACCUACUAGAGAAUGGACUUGAGGAUAUGGGGAGGGGGAAGCGUAAGCUGUGACAAA
Molecule: long non-coding RNA, 1844 nt
Organism: Orcinus orca (killer whale)
Lineage: Eukaryota; Metazoa; Chordata; Mammalia; Artiodactyla; Delphinidae
Exons: 2
Source: RefSeq, a predicted model, not a curated record